AUGCAGCGCCUGCUCCUUGACAUCUCCCCGCUGCGGCCUUCAGGCUUUGAAGCCUCCCCAACCCCACCUCUCCAGUGCAAUGGCAACCUACAGCGAACCCCUACGCCACCCCGUGCUCGCCCCCAUGAUGCUGGGCACGACCUGCCGGCGGGCCUGGCUGAGCUCAUUGUGCCCUGCCUCGAGCUUCCGGCAACACUCUUCUAUCCAAGGCAGUCGGCGCUCCUGCCAUCUGCAACCACGCAACCUCCCCCUGAGGCGCCCUUGGCAUCUCCAAGGCCAAGCCCUCCAGCGGCCCGUCGAAAGACUUUGGCGGGCAUGAGAAUCUCCAAGGAGGGUGGCAUCUCUCUGCAACGGAUCCGGCGACCUUCCAGCCGCACGCCGGCUGCUCCGGCGGCAAAGGUGGCCGAGCGCCUGGUUUGCCGCAGCCUGGCCAUAACCAAAGAUGGUCAAAGAUGUAACUGCUUCGAUCCUGGAGGCGUUCAUGGAGAAAUUCAAGGAGUAGCUCCCUCCUGA
Molecule: ribosomal RNA, 513 nt
Filed under: Triticum aestivum (bread wheat)
Lineage: Eukaryota; Viridiplantae; Streptophyta; Magnoliopsida; Poales; Poaceae
Description: partial small subunit ribosomal RNA
Source: RNAcentral